This 458-nucleotide ribosomal RNA is filed under the name uncultured bacterium. RNAcentral's name for it is "partial 16S ribosomal RNA". It matches the Rfam family "Bacterial small subunit ribosomal RNA", at positions 338 to 795 of the family's 1533-position model. The record is from RNAcentral.
CCUACGGGUGGCAGCAGUGGGGAAUAUUGCACAAUGGGGGAAACUCUGAUGCAGCGACGCCGCGUGAGUGAAGAAGUCUUUCGGUACGUAAAGCUCUAUCAGCAGGGAAGAAAAACCGGCCUUAGGGCCGCCAGACGGUACCUGACUAAGAAGCCCCGGCUAACUACGUGCCAGCAGCCGCGGGAUAACGGAGGGGGCAAGCGUUAUCCGGAUUUACUGGGUGUAAAGGGAGCGUAGACGGCGGCGUAAGGCUGGUGUGAAAUGCCGGGGCGCAACCCCGGAACUGCUUUUGAAACUGUGCAGCUGGAGUGCAGGAGAGGUAAGCGGAAUUCCUGGUGUAGCGGUGAAAUGCGUAGAUAUUAGGAGGAACGCCGGUGGCGAAGGCGGCUUACUGGACUGUAACUGACGUUGAGGCUCGAAAGCGUGGGGAGCAAACAGGAUUAGAUACCCUUGUAGUC